ACCAGGCGUGGUGGCACGUGCCUGUAGUCUCAGCUGCUUGGGAAGCUGAGGUGGGAGGAUCGCUUGUGCCCAGGAGUUCUGGGCUGUAGUGCGCUAUGCUAAUCAAGUGUCCGCACUAAGUUCAGUAUCAAUACUGUGAUCUCCCGGGAGCGGGGGACCACCAGGUUUCCUAAGGAGGGGUGAACUGGCCCAGGUCAGAAACGGAGCAGGUCAAAACUCCCGUGCUGAUCAGUAGUGAGAUCGCACCUGUGAAUAGCCACUGCACUCCAGCCUGGGCAACAUAGCGAGACUGUGUCUCUA
This is an unclassified non-coding RNA of Callithrix jacchus (white-tufted-ear marmoset), 300 nucleotides long. It matches the Rfam family "Metazoan signal recognition particle RNA". From Rfam's summary of the family: The signal recognition particle (SRP) is a universally conserved ribonucleoprotein. The record is from Ensembl. Lineage: Eukaryota; Metazoa; Chordata; Mammalia; Primates; Cebidae.